RNAcentral lists this ribosomal RNA (997 nucleotides) under Microbacterium sp. 4a-3. Its description in RNAcentral is "bacterial SSU rRNA". It matches the Rfam family "Bacterial small subunit ribosomal RNA", at positions 37 to 1044 of the family's 1533-position model. Lineage: Bacteria; Bacillati; Actinomycetota; Actinomycetes; Micrococcales; Microbacteriaceae. The record is from RNAcentral.
UGGCGGCGUGCUUAACACAUGCAAGUCGAACGGUGAACACGGAGCUUGCUCUGUGGGAUCAGUGGCGAACGGGUAGUAACACGUGAGCAACCUGCCCCUGACUCUGGGAUAAGCGCUGGAAACGGCGUCUAAUACUGGAUACGAACCAUGAAGGCAUCUUCAGUGGUUGGAAAGAUUUAUUGGUUGGGGAUGGGCUCGCGGCCUAUCAGCUUGUUGGUGAGGUAAUGGCUCACCAAGGCGUCGACGGGUAGCCGGCCUGAGAGGGUGACCGGCCACACUGGGACUGAGACACGGCCCAGACUCCUACGGGAGGCAGCAGUGGGGAAUAUUGCACAAUGGGCGCAAGCCUGAUGCAGCAACGCCGCGUGAGGGAUGACGGCCUUCGGGUUGUAAACCUCUUUUAGCAGGGAAGAAGCGAAAGUGACGGUACCUGCAGAAAAAGCGCCGGCUAACUACGUGCCAGCAGCCGCGGUAAUACGUAGGGCGCAAGCGUUAUCCGGAAUUAUUGGGCGUAAAGAGCUCGUAGGCGGUUUGUCGCGUCUGCUGUGAAAUCCGGAGGCUCAACCUCCGGCCUGCAGUGGGUACGGGCAGACUAGAGUGCGGUAGGGGAGAUUGGAAUUCCUGGUGUAGCGGUGGAAUGCGCAGAUAUCAGGAGGAACACCGAUGGCGAAGGCAGAUCUCUGGGCCGUAACUGACGCUGAGGAGCGAAAGGGUGGGGAGCAAACAGGCUUAGAUACCCUGGUAGUCCACCCCGUAAACGUUGGGAACUAGUUGUGGGGUCCAUUCCACGGAUUCCGUGACGCAGCUAACGCAUUAAGUUCCCCGCCUGGGGAGUACGGCCGCAAGGCUAAAACUCAAAGGAAUUGACGGGGACCCGCACAAGCGGCGGAGCAUGCGGAUUAAUUCGAUGCAACGCGAAGAACCUUACCAAGGCUUGACAUAUACGAGAACGGGCCAGAAAUGGUCAACUCUUUGGACACUCGUAAACAGGUGGUGC